ACGCUCGACACCUACGGAAGGCAGCAGUGGGGAAUAUUGCACAAUGGGGGAAACCCUGAUGCAGCGACGCCGCGUGAAGGAAGAAGUAUCUCGGUAUGUAAACUUCUAUCAGCAGGGAAGAAAAUGACGGUACCUGACUAAGAAGCCCCGGCUAACUACGUGCCAGCAGCCGNGGUAAUCUGAGCGGGCUGGCAAGGC
RNAcentral lists this ribosomal RNA (198 nucleotides) under uncultured bacterium. RNAcentral's name for it is "partial 16S ribosomal RNA". It matches the Rfam family "Bacterial small subunit ribosomal RNA", at positions 326 to 539 of the family's 1533-position model. The record is from RNAcentral.